ACGGCAGCAAAACCUGCCUCUGAGGCGUC
This 29-nucleotide small RNA is filed under the name Bombyx mori (domestic silkworm). RNAcentral's name for it is "ovarian small RNA-11566". Lineage: Eukaryota; Metazoa; Arthropoda; Insecta; Lepidoptera; Bombycidae. The record is from RNAcentral.